GAUGAACGCUGGCGGCGUGCCUAGUACAUGCAAGUCGAGCGAACAGACGAGGAGCUUGCUCCUCUGACGUUAGCGGCGGACGGGUGAGUAACACGUGGAUAACCUACCUAUAAGACUGGGAUAACUUCGGGAAACCGGAGCUAAUACCGGAUAAUAUAUUGAACCGCAUGGUUCAAUAGUGAAAGACGGUUUUGCUGUCACUUAUAGAUGGAUCCGCGCCGCAUUAGCUAGUUGGUAAGGUAACGGCUUACCAAGGCAACGAUGCGUAGCCGACUUGAGAGGGUGAUCGGCCACACUGGAACUGAGACACGGUCCAGACUCCUACGGGAGGCAGCAGUAGGGAAUCUUCCGCAAUGGGCGAAAGCUUGACGGAGCAACGCCGCGUGAGUGAUGAAGGUCUUCGGAUCGUAAAACUCUGUUAUUAGGGAAGAACAAAUGUGUAAGUAACUAUGCACGUCUUGACGGUACCUAAUCAGAAAGCCACGGCUAACUACGUG
This 497-nucleotide ribosomal RNA is filed under the name uncultured bacterium. Its description in RNAcentral is "partial 16S ribosomal RNA". It matches the Rfam family "Bacterial small subunit ribosomal RNA", at positions 28 to 507 of the family's 1533-position model. The record is from RNAcentral.